RNAcentral lists this ribosomal RNA (549 nucleotides) under Penicillium chrysogenum. RNAcentral describes it as "eukaryotic LSU rRNA". The stretch from base 152 to 304 matches the Rfam family "5.8S ribosomal RNA". Lineage: Eukaryota; Fungi; Ascomycota; Eurotiomycetes; Eurotiales; Aspergillaceae. The record is from RNAcentral.
CCUCCCACCCGUGUUUAUUUUACCUUGUUGCUUCGGCGGGCCCGCCUUAACUGGCCGCCGGGGGGCUUACGCCCCCGGGCCCGCGCCCGCCGAAGACACCCUCGAACUCUGUCUGAAGAUUGUAGUCUGAGUGAAAAUAUAAAUUAUUUAAAACUUUCAACAACGGAUCUCUUGGUUCCGGCAUCGAUGAAGAACGCAGCGAAAUGCGAUACGUAAUGUGAAUUGCAAAUUCAGUGAAUCAUCGAGUCUUUGAACGCACAUUGCGCCCCCUGGUAUUCCGGGGGGCAUGCCUGUCCGAGCGUCAUUUCUGCCCUCAAGCACGGCUUGUGUGUUGGGCCCCGUCCUCCGAUCCCGGGGGACGGGCCCGAAAGGCAGCGGCGGCACCGCGUCCGGUCCUCGAGCGUAUGGGGCUUUGUCACCCGCUCUGUAGGCCCGGCCGGCGCUUGCCGAUCAACCCAAAUUUUUAUCCAGGUUGACCUCGGAUCAGGUAGGGAUACCCGCUGAACUUAAGCAUAUCAAUAAGCGGAGGAAAUGAUCCUUAUGAUCCUU